Molecule: long non-coding RNA, 1165 nt
Filed under: Scophthalmus maximus (turbot)
Lineage: Eukaryota; Metazoa; Chordata; Actinopteri; Pleuronectiformes; Scophthalmidae
Description: lncRNA (ENSSMAG00000033124.1)
Source: RNAcentral
CGGCUCAUCAGCCGGACGCCGACCCGUGCAUCAGCGCAGCCAGGUCCAAUUCAUCACUGCAGCCGUUUAUGAAACAUCCUAAUCUUUCUGAAUCGCAGCCCGGUGCUCUGGACUCUCACUGACGACAGUCUGAGCUGAUUAGUAUCAACAUCACUCGGAAAAAACUCACUUAAUCUUUUGGUUUGCGUCUAUUGAUUAUGUUUAUUAAUGAUCAUUUACUGUUUGACAUUUUGAAUCUGGCUGGUUUUUCUCUCCUUUUAAUUUACAGGUUCAUGGUCAUUUCACAUCUUACGCAUCGUUCCUUUCAGGAUACUUUGCACUGAACUCCUAAUUGAUUUUUUAUAGUCUCUCUUAUUUACCUUCCAUUCUGUUCUCUUUUCAUAUUUUAUUACAUUUUUCCCCUCUGUCCUCUCGUGGAUGCUAAAUGCUAACGCUAACUGUCUGCUGACAGACCAGCCGCUAACUGUCUGCUGACACACCUGCCGUCCUCUCAUGAUUCGCUGCCUCCGCUGCACUGGGAGUUUCCGGUUUCUUUGCUUCACAUUUGUAUAUUCCACAGCGAUUGUUUUUUUCUGUAUUUGUGACCAGAUCUAGCUUGAAAAGGAUUUGUUUGAAUUUUAAAUUGCAGAGAAGUGAAACAGAAAUCUCCUCCUCCAGGAGAGGAAUGCGAAAACACCAGAUACAAGUCCACUAUAAUAAUAAUAAUAAUAAAUUUCAUUUAUAGUCAAUAUCAGACGUUAUAGACAGAAACUGAAGAAAAACACUUUUUUGAGUGGAGGGGGACUUUAAUUAUUAAAGGUUGAAUGUUAUUACAGUAGUUUUAAUUCAUGACGUGUUUAUUUGGAUUGUGUCGUUGUGGCCAUUAGUCUCGUUUCAACACGUCACGCGGCUCGGUUAGUAAAAAUGUUAAAUGAAAAUCAAAGUGACACAAAUUGAGAUGGGAGACGAGUCAGAACUGAAAGACACGACUCAAGCUGUGUCCAAGUUCAGGCUCCGCCUCCUCCGAACGCUACAUCUGAGGAGCAAUUUGCGUCGCUCGAGUUGAAAUAUAUAUGAACCUGGUUGAAAUGAUCGUGGGACUCGAGCUAAAAAAGCUAAUUAGCAAUGAGAUUCUACCAAAGUCAGUGAAGUCCGAGUCCAAAAACAGGAAAGGUGAAGAUUCACG